This 68-nucleotide transfer RNA is filed under the name Lepas australis. RNAcentral's name for it is "tRNA-Thr". It matches the Rfam family "tRNA". Rfam says of the family: Transfer RNA (tRNA) molecules are approximately 80 nucleotides in length. Their secondary structure includes four short double-helical elements and three loops (D, anti-codon, and T loops). Lineage: Eukaryota; Metazoa; Arthropoda; Thecostraca; Lepadidae. The record is from RNAcentral.
UGUCUUUAUAAUUUAAACAAAAUGCCGGUCUUGUAAGCCGGAAAUAGGUCAACGAACCUUAAAGACAA